AAGAGAGAGACAUGCGCGCAUAUCAAUAAGCGGAGGAAAAGAAACUAGCAAGGAUUCCCUUAGUAACGGCGAGUGAAGCGGGAAGAGCUCAAAUUUGAAAUCUUCAAGGUUCUACCUUGACGAAUUGUAGUUUAUAGAAGUGUUUUCUGUUAGUGGAGUUGGCUAAAAGUUCUUUGGAAUAGGACAUCAUAGAGGGUGAGAAUCCCGUAUUUGGUCAUUCCUCCUAGCGUUGUGAUACACUUUCAACGAGUCGGAUUGUUUGGGAAUGCAGUCCAAAAUGGGUGGUAAAUUUCAUCUAAAGCUAAAUAUUGGCGAGAGACCGAUAGCGAACAAGUACCGUGAGGGAAAGAUGAAAAGAACUUUGAAAAGAGAGUUAAACAGUACGUGAAAUUGUCAAAAGGGAAGCGUUUGACACCAGUGUUGUUUAGUUCCGAAAAUCAAUUCACUAAUUUUUGAUUUUGAGUAGUUAUGACUUCAUCAGCUUGCUGCCUUUCUUUAUCAGAAACUUUCUUGAAUGCACUUUUCAGUUAACAAGUCAACAUCAAUUUCUUUUGUUGUAAAAGGGUAUGAGGAAGGUGGCUUUCUUUUCGGAGAAAGUGUUUAUAGCCUUGUACCUCUGCAAUCGGAGAGAUUGAGGUCUGCAGCGUAGAUCCUUCGGGGUUAGAUACAUUUGUGCUAAGUUAUAGCUUUUCAUAGACAACUUGUUGACUAUGUUUAGUCUUGUAGCUUACUCGCUUAUGCUAUUUUACCUACGCUUAGAUGUUGAUCUGUAGUGCGUGCGC
This 782-nucleotide ribosomal RNA is filed under the name uncultured Neocallimastigales. RNAcentral describes it as "partial large subunit ribosomal RNA". It matches the Rfam family "Eukaryotic large subunit ribosomal RNA", at positions 23 to 646 of the family's 3401-position model. The record is from RNAcentral. Lineage: Eukaryota; Fungi; Neocallimastigomycota; Neocallimastigomycetes; Neocallimastigales.